GCCGGACAGCACCUUUUCCUUUCCCUCUUUCUCUCUCUCACUCUCCCUUUCUUCAUUCGUCGUUGUGUUGGCCUCCUUGCCAGUCUUUCUCAAGUUUUGACCAGCAGCUAGAUCCUAUUCUGGUGCUUCCUCUUCCCCCUCCGAUUAGAGGCCCUCCUUGGCAUCGGACUGCUUCUCUUCUCUCCCGACACUAUGAUCAGAGCAUUUGCUAGGCCUUCUCAAUGGUUGGCUAACCAUCGGAAGCCCCUCUUCCUUCCCCCUCUCUCUCUAUCCUUCUUCCAACUGUCGGAUGCCUCCUCUGUAUCUCUAUUUCUUUUUCGAUGUAGUGGAUACUGUCUCUCCCCGGACUGUCGAAUUCCUUCUCUUUCUUGGUGUCAUGCUUGGACCAGUUACGAAAAUUCUUUCCAUUUUUUCCUCUUAUCUCUUCUCUCUUGCAUUUGAUCAACCUAUUCGGCAGUUAACUCCUCUCUUUGAAGAUCGAUGUCCGAUCGUUUCUUUCUCUCUUUAUCUUUUCUUUCAGAGCUGUUAUUGUCAUGCAAUCAUUGAUCAGCCCUCAAUCAUUAUAGAUUGGG
RNAcentral lists this long non-coding RNA (572 nucleotides) under Elaeis guineensis (African oil palm). RNAcentral's name for it is "long non-coding RNA (EGUI_LNC017612)". The record is from RNAcentral. Lineage: Eukaryota; Viridiplantae; Streptophyta; Magnoliopsida; Arecales; Arecaceae.